AGGAAUCCAGUGUUAAGGUAGAGGAGCAGAGUGACAUGAACGCCUGCAUUAAAUCCCUUUUAUACACAGACCGUGACCUUACAGUGACUCCCAUCAUGGAUAACCCAAAGAUUUUAAAGACUUCUCCAGUUCGUUUUGACCCCAAAACGCUUUGCAUAUCAGCACAUUCAGUAUUAUGGAGCAGUUGAAAGUUUGCACUAGGCCAUCUAAUGGGGGAAGUUGAACAAUAGUGUGUCCGCUGAGGAAUGGGUGUCUGCUGCCGUCCUCGCCUCUGUCUGAAAAUGAGCUUCCUCUUCCUUGGCUUUCAUGAAUGGAAACUGUAUUCAGUGGAAAUUGAUAUAGAAUGUGUGGAGUUUCAGUGGCACCUAAAGGUUGUGUAUUUAUACUAAAACUUUAAGCCAGUGUUAAUUCAGAUAAAUAAUAAAAUAUAAUUUGAGUGCA
Long non-coding RNA from Carassius carassius (crucian carp), 441 nucleotides. RefSeq lists it as uncharacterized. The transcript has 3 exons. The record is from RefSeq and is a predicted model, not a curated record. NCBI's taxonomy places the organism in Eukaryota, Metazoa, Chordata, Actinopteri, Cypriniformes, Cyprinidae.